Numida meleagris (helmeted guineafowl) is the source of this 384-nucleotide long non-coding RNA. RefSeq lists it as uncharacterized. The record is from RefSeq and is a predicted model, not a curated record. Lineage: Eukaryota; Metazoa; Chordata; Aves; Galliformes; Numididae. The transcript is spliced from 2 exons.
GGUGAGGGGGGCGGGGCGGCGCUGAGGGGCGGCUGUUACCCUCCCCGGACCCGCGUCGGGGCGGCCUGACCUGGGCACCUCGAAAUGGAGCGCGUGAGGCAGCUCUGUUUGAAAUUCAUUCCCUAUAAAAAGUAGUUGACGGAGGAGUUUGUAUUCGCGUUUGAAUGCUUGCGUGCAGCUUCUAGGCAUAAAGGCUUUUUUCUGCGUCGUGAGGGGUAGGACGACGUAAUUUGGGAGAACUGCAAUCCAGUGUUGUAUCACAGAUAAUUACAAGGACAUGGACAAGAGAGGCGACGGUGCAUCAGCUGCCUCAGCUUAGAAGCUUUUUUCAGCUGUUUUUAUCCUUUUUCUUCAAAUAAAGGUGUAACAAGCUUUUACAGUGUA